AGAAUCAACGCUGGCGGCGUGCCUAACACAUGCAAGUCGAACGAGAAAGUGGAGCAAUCCAUGAGUAAAGUGGCGCACGGGUGAGUAACACGUGACUAACCUACCCUUGAGUGGGGGAUAACCUAGGGAAACCUGGGCUAAUACCGCAUAAUACCUUCGGGUCAAAGGAGCAAUUCGCUUAAGGAGGGGGUCGCGGCCGAUUAGUUAGUUGGCGGGGUAAUGGCCCACCAAGACUGUGACCGGUAUCC
Molecule: ribosomal RNA, 248 nt
Filed under: uncultured bacterium
Lineage: Bacteria
Description: partial small subunit ribosomal RNA
Rfam family: Bacterial small subunit ribosomal RNA
Source: RNAcentral